CCUACGGGUGGCAGCAGUGAGGAAUAUUGGUCAAUGGGCGCGAGCCUGCACCAGCCAAGUCGCGUGAGGGAUGACGGUCCUACGGAUUGUAAACCUCUUUUGCCGGGGAGCAAGCGUGCGUUCGUGAACGCGCGUCGAGAGUACCCGGAGAAAAAGCAUCGACUAACUCCGUGCCAGCAGCCGCGGUAAUACGGAGGAUCCGAGCGUUAUCCGGAUUUUUUGGGUUUAAAGGGUGCGUAGGCGGCCUUUUAAGUCAGCGGUGAAAGUCUGUGGCUCAACCAUAGAAUUGCCGUUGAAACUGGGGGGCUUGAGGAUGUUUGAGGCAGGCGGAAUGCGUGGUGUAGCGGUGAAAUGCUUAGAUAUCACGCAGAACCCCGAUUGCGAAGGCAGCCUGCCAAGCCAUGACUGACGCUGAUGCACGAAAGCGUGGGGAACAAACAGGAUUAGAUACCCUAGUAGUC
This 461-nucleotide ribosomal RNA is filed under the name uncultured bacterium. Its description in RNAcentral is "partial 16S ribosomal RNA". It matches the Rfam family "Bacterial small subunit ribosomal RNA", at positions 338 to 795 of the family's 1533-position model. The record is from RNAcentral.